GAUGAAGAACGUAGCGAAAUGCGAUAAGUAAUGUGAAUUGCAGAAUUCAGUGAAUCAUCGAAUCUUUGAACGCAUCUUGCGCUCCUUGGUAUUCCUUGGAGCAUGCCUGUUUGAGUAUCAUGAGCAAAUCUCAAAGUCAAUUCCUUUUGUUGAUUCAAUUGGUUUUGCUUUGGACUUGGAGGCCUUGCAGAUUUCACAGUCUGCUCCUCUUAAAUGCAUUAGCUGGAUCUCAGUAAUUAUGCUUGGUUCCACUCGGCGUGAUAAGUAUCACUCGCUGAGGACACUGUUAAAAAGGUGGCCAGGAAAAUACUGAUUGACCCGCUUCUAACGGUCUAUUAAGUUAGACAAUUACCCUUAAGUUUGAUCUCAAAUCAGGUAGGACUACCCGCUGAACUUAAGCAUAUCAAUAAGCGGAGGA
Molecule: unclassified non-coding RNA, 418 nt
Filed under: soil metagenome
Description: partial contains 5.8S ribosomal RNA, internal transcribed spacer 2, and large subunit ribosomal RNA
Rfam family: 5.8S ribosomal RNA (bases 1-120)
Source: RNAcentral